Molecule: long non-coding RNA, 992 nt
Filed under: Sinocyclocheilus anshuiensis
Lineage: Eukaryota; Metazoa; Chordata; Actinopteri; Cypriniformes; Cyprinidae
Description: lncRNA (ENSSANG00000025756.1)
Source: RNAcentral
CUAGCUCCUCUCUCCCGUGGUUGAGCAGAUGUUGUUGCAUUGUACUGUUCAGUUGGCCUGCAAACUUGGUGAGACAGCAAAUAAUGGAAAAUUGAGAACAGUACAUGAAGUCAAUUCUGAGAAUGAUUUUUUUUUUACCUUUAUUUAUAUAGCGCUUUUAACAAUACAGAUUGUGUCAAAGCAACUCUUAAUUAUUAAUUAUUGAUUAAUAUCCAAUUGUGUCUGUUUGGGUUUGCUUACAUGUGUAGUAUCUGGGGAGCUGCCUCUAGUGUCCUCAGCCGAGGGUAACAAGAGACUCGCUCUUCUGGAAAAGUUUGUAGUUCUGUGGGCUCAGACUCCCUCUCCACCUCUGCACCUUCUCCUCAGUGAACCCACUUUGACUGCUAUUUUUAGUGCCACAGAUAGUGAGAGGACUGACUACCUGUUCCUGAUAAGACAGCUAAUAGAGAGGGGUCUUUUAGGAGAGGAGGAUUUGGGCACCAACUGGCCAAAGUUGUCAGCGUUAUCUUGGCCAGAGGAGUCUUCACUGCCUUCACUGCCAAACCACAGGGACAUACUGCAGGUCUCUCAAUGACCACUAGGGGGACGCAUGAGUCUACAUUACCAACUGUACACAUGAAUCCCAGCCAAACACUAUUGUAUUAACAGCAGUGAUGCAUAUUUGAAGAAAAGAAAUAAUGUUUAAACCUACAAAAUAUAGGAUUUAAAAAAUAUUUUAAAGUCUGAUUUAUUGUUAGUUGCAAGGAGAAUAUUUGCUGCUGAAGAAUGUUGAGUUGAUAAGAUUGUUAUUGACAGUUUAUAAACCUUUAAAACACAUUUUGUGGGGACAUUUUAGCAGGGCUUUGCCAGUUUUCACUUAUACUGCCUCACAAUAGAACAGGAUAAAGACCAUUCACUGUGCUGUUUAUUUGUUUUAAGUGUGUGUAAAUGUUUUUUUGCUUGUUUGUUGGUGAGUAUGUCUGUCUGUAUGUUUCUUAGUAUAUAUUUGCGGA